GGGGAAGUAAAAGUCGUAACAAGGUCUCCGUUGGUGAACCAGCGGAGGGAUCAUUACAGGGUUAUCCAACUCCCAAACCCAUGUGAACUUAUCUCUUUGUUGCCUCGGCGCAAGCUACCCGGGACCUCGCGCCCCGGGGGGCCCGCCGGCGGACAAACCAAACUCUGUUAUCUUCGUUGAUUAUCUGAGUGUCUUAUUUAAUAAGUCAAAACUUUCAACAACGGAUCUCUUGGUUCUGGCAUCGAUGAAGAACGCAGCGAAAUGCGAUAAGUAAUGUGAAUUGCAGAAUUCAGUGAAUCAUCGAAUCUUUGAACGCACAUUGCGCCCAUUAGUAUUCUAGUGGGCAUGCCUGUUCGAGCGUCAUUUCAACCCCUAAGCACAGCUUAUUGUUGGGACUCUACGGCUUCGUAGUUCCCCAAAGACAUUGGCGGAGUGGCAGCAGUCCUCUGAGCGUAGUAAUUCUUUAUCUCGCUUUUGUUAGGCGCUGCCCCCCCGGCCGUAAAACCCCCAAUUUUUUCUGGUUGACCUCGGAUCAGGUAGGAAUACCCGCUGAACUUAAGCAUAUCAAUAAGCGGAGGA
RNAcentral lists this ribosomal RNA (579 nucleotides) under Nigrospora oryzae. RNAcentral's name for it is "eukaryotic LSU rRNA". The stretch from base 210 to 363 matches the Rfam family "5.8S ribosomal RNA". Lineage: Eukaryota; Fungi; Ascomycota; Sordariomycetes; Amphisphaeriales; Apiosporaceae. The record is from RNAcentral.